This 465-nucleotide ribosomal RNA is filed under the name uncultured bacterium. Its description in RNAcentral is "partial 16S ribosomal RNA". It matches the Rfam family "Bacterial small subunit ribosomal RNA", at positions 28 to 507 of the family's 1533-position model. The record is from RNAcentral.
GACGAACGCUGGCGGCGUGCUUAACACAUGCAAGUCGAACGGAAAGGCCCUGCUUGCAGGGUACUCGAGUGGCGAACGGGUGAGUAACACGUGGGUGAUCUGCUCUGCACGUCGGGAUAAGCCUGGGAAACUGGGUCUAAUAACGGCAAGGAGCCAUCGGUAGUGAGAUGGUUGGAAAGUUUUUUCGGUGUAGGAUGAGCUCGCGGCCUAGCGGCUUGUUGUUGGGGUAAUGGCCUACCAAGGCGGCGACGGGAAGCCGGCCUGUGAGGGUGGACGGCGACAUUGGGACUGAGGUACGGCCCAGACUCCUACGGGUGGCAGCAGUGGGGAAUAUUGCACAAUGGGCGCAAGGCUGAUGCAGCGAGGCCGCGUGGGGGAUGACAGCCUUCGGGUUGUAAACUCCUUUCGCUAGGGACGGAGCGUUUUGUGACGGUACCUAGAUAAGAAGCACCGGCUAACUACGUG